This 464-nucleotide ribosomal RNA is filed under the name uncultured bacterium. Its description in RNAcentral is "bacterial SSU rRNA". It matches the Rfam family "Bacterial small subunit ribosomal RNA", at positions 336 to 793 of the family's 1533-position model. The record is from RNAcentral.
CUCCUACGGGAGGCAGCAGUGGGGAAUAUUGCACAAUGGGCGCAAGCCUGAUGCAGCCAUGCCGCGUGUAUGAAGAAGGCCUUCGGGUUGUAAAGUACUUUCAGCAGUGAGGAAGGUGGGUAUGUUAAUAGCAUACUCAUUUGACGUUAGCUGCAGAAGAAGCACCGGCUAACUCCGUGCCAGCAGCCGCGGUAAUACGGAGGGUGCGAGCGUUAAUCGGAAUUACUGGGCGUAAAGCGCAUGCAGGUGGUUUGUUAAGUCAGAUGUGAAAGCCCGGGGCUCAACCUCGGAAUUGCAUUUGAAACUGGCAAACUAGAGUACUGUAGAGGGGGUAGAAUUUCAGGUGUAGCGGUGAAAUGCGUAGAGAUCUGAAGGAAUACCGGUGGCGAAGGCGGCCCCCUGGACAGAUACUGACACUCAGAUGCGAAAGCGUGGGGAGCAAACAGGAUUAGAUACCCUGGCAG